This 109-nucleotide transfer RNA is filed under the name Fusarium oxysporum. RNAcentral's name for it is "tRNA-Val". It matches the Rfam family "tRNA". From Rfam's summary of the family: Transfer RNA (tRNA) molecules are approximately 80 nucleotides in length. Their secondary structure includes four short double-helical elements and three loops (D, anti-codon, and T loops). The record is from RNAcentral. RNAcentral also lists the same sequence under 1 other name. Lineage: Eukaryota; Fungi; Ascomycota; Sordariomycetes; Hypocreales; Nectriaceae.
UCCGCUAUGGCGCAGUUGGACAGCGCACAUCGCAUUACCUAUCCAGUGACCUCUUAGGGGGUUGCUCUUUACAGCGGUGAGGUCCAAGGUUCGAGUCCUUGUGGUGGAA